RNAcentral lists this ribosomal RNA (460 nucleotides) under uncultured bacterium. RNAcentral's name for it is "partial 16S ribosomal RNA". It matches the Rfam family "Bacterial small subunit ribosomal RNA", at positions 338 to 795 of the family's 1533-position model. The record is from RNAcentral.
CCUACGUGCGGCAGCAGUGAGGAAUAUUGGUCAAUGGGCGCGAGCCUGAACCAGCCAAGUAGCGUGAAGGAUGACUGCCCUACGGGUUGUAAACUUCUUUUAUAAAGGAAUAAAGUGAGGCACGUGUGCCUUUUUGUAUGUACUUUAUGAAUAAGGAUCGGCUAACUCCGUGCCAGCAGCCGCGGUAAUACGGAGGAUCCGAGCGUUAUCCGGAUUUAUUGGGUUUAAAGGGAGCGUAGAUGGGUUGUUAAGUCAGUUGUGAAAGUUUGCGGCUCAACCGUAAAAUUGCAAUUGAUACUGGCAGUCUUGAGUACAGUUGAGGUAGGCGGAAUUCGUGGUGUAGCGGUGAAAUGCUUAGAUAUCACGAAGAACUCCGAUUGCGAAGGCAGCUUACUAAACUGCCACUGACAUUGAUGCCCGAAAGUGUGGGUAUCAAACAGGAUUAGAUACCCCAGUAGUC